CCUACGGGUGACAGCAGUGAGGAAUAUUGGUCAAUGGACGAGAGUCUGAACCAGCCAAGUAGCGUGAAGGAUGACUGCCCUAUGGGUUGUAAACUUCUUGUAUAUGGGAAUAAAACGUUCCACGUGUGGGAUUUUGUAUGUACCAUAUGAAUAAGGAUCGGCUAACUCCGUGCCAGCAGCCGCGGUAAUACGGAGGAUCCGAGCGUUAUCCGGAUUUAUUGGGUUUAAAGGGAGCGUAGGUGGAUUGUUAAGUCAGUUGUGAAAGUUUGCGGCUCAACCGUAAAAUUGCAGUUGAAACUGGCAGUCUUGAGUACAGUAGAGGUGGGCGGAAUUCGUGGUGUAGCGGUGAAAUGCUUAGAUAUCACGAAGAACUCCGAUUGCGAAGGCAGUUCACUGGACUGCAACUGACACUGAGGCUCGAAAGUGUGGGUAUCAAACAGGAUUAGAUACCCCAGUAGUC
Molecule: ribosomal RNA, 460 nt
Filed under: uncultured bacterium
Lineage: Bacteria
Description: partial 16S ribosomal RNA
Rfam family: Bacterial small subunit ribosomal RNA
Source: RNAcentral